GCGAUUAUGGUGAAGUGGGUUAACACACCUGAUUGUGGUCCAGGCAUCCGAGGGUUCGAAUCCCUCUAGUCGCC
Molecule: non-coding RNA, 74 nt
Organism: Dallia pectoralis (Alaska blackfish)
Lineage: Eukaryota; Metazoa; Chordata; Actinopteri; Esociformes; Umbridae
Source: the annotation of a GenBank genome assembly